GAAAUGCGAUAAGUAAUGUGAAUUGCAGAAUUCCGUGAAUCAUCGAAUCUUUGAACGCACAUUGCGCCCUCUGGCAUUCCGGGGGCAUGCCUGUCCGAGCGUCAUUACGCACCCUCAAGCCCGGCUUGUGUGAUGGGCCCCGGCGUCUCGUUCGCGAGACGGGCCCGAAAGGCAGCGGCGGCGUCGACCCGAUGAGCCCGAGCGUAUGGGGACUUCUGUCACACGUUCGCGGUGCGGACCAGCGCCUGCUUGACUUUUCUGAUUAUCCAGGUUGACCUCGGAUCAGGUAGGGAUACCCGCUGAACUUAAGC
This 311-nucleotide unclassified non-coding RNA is filed under the name plant metagenome. RNAcentral's name for it is "partial contains 5.8S ribosomal RNA, internal transcribed spacer 2, and large subunit ribosomal RNA". The stretch from base 1 to 104 matches the Rfam family "5.8S ribosomal RNA", at positions 50 to 154 of the family's 154-position model. The record is from RNAcentral.